UACGGAGGGUGCAAGCGUUAUCCGGAUUUACUGGGUUUAAAGGGUGCGUAGGCGGGCUUUUAAGUCAGCGGUGAAAGCUUCGGGCUUAACCCGGAAAUUGCCGUUGAUACUAUUAGUCUUGAAUUAAGUUGAGGUGGGCGGAAUAAGUCAUGUAGCGGUGAAAUGCUUAGAUAUGACUUAGAACACCGAUUGCGAAGGCAGCUCGCUAAACUUAUAUUGACGCUGAGGCACGAAAGCGUGGGGAUCAAACAGG
Molecule: ribosomal RNA, 253 nt
Filed under: uncultured bacterium
Lineage: Bacteria
Description: partial 16S ribosomal RNA
Rfam family: Bacterial small subunit ribosomal RNA
Source: RNAcentral